This is a long non-coding RNA of Peromyscus leucopus (white-footed mouse), 1285 nucleotides long. RefSeq lists it as uncharacterized. The transcript has 3 exons. NCBI's taxonomy places the organism in Eukaryota, Metazoa, Chordata, Mammalia, Rodentia, Cricetidae. The record is from RefSeq and is a predicted model, not a curated record.
UUUAUUUUUUUAAAUAGGCUCUCACUAUGUAGUUCUUGUUGGCCUUGAACUCACAGAGAUCCACCGCCUCUGCUUCUUCGAUACUGGAAUAAAGGCCUGCGCCACUAACUGCAUCCAGCAUCUUCAAAGUUUUAACAGCAUCAGGCUGGACAGCCAGACUGGUCCAUCUUCACAAGGAAGACGUCCUUGUCUGUCUUCUAAGCCAGUACCCCACACCCUUUUCCAUGCCCCAUUAGUUUAUGAUUCUGCCCUCAGUUAUUGCAUCUGUAAGAGGUGGCUUAACACAUCAGAGUCACCUGAGGGUCCGAUUCUGCUACCUGGGAGGAGCCUGAGAGACUGACCUUUUAGCCAGUUGCCAGUGGGAUCCAAAAUGCCGAGCAACAGGCAGUUGUGAUGUUUCACUUUCUAGAGAACGCACUUAUAAAGCAAAACAAAACCCAGGGUCUCCUCUAGCCUACACUGGUUUUAAACUCACGAGGCUUCCUGAGCCCCUGACCUCUUCUUCCCAAUUGAGGGGAUUUCUGUCAAAAGCUCCCAUCCCCAGUUGAGAGGGUUGUUUUUUGUUGUUGUUGUUGUUUGUUUGUUUUGUUUUUAAAGAUGGGCGGAAACUGAGGAUUAUUUAUUUAUGUGUAGAGGUAAAUGAUUCAGCAAAGGGAAACCCGUGCAGGAGUGGUGGUAUUGAGGGUGGAUGAACCAGGGGCAGGGAGUGCUGGCCUGGGAGUGUUCGCCUGAGAUAGGAGCCCAGGUGCUUUAUCCCAGACCGCAGUGCAGAAAAGCAGAAUUGGGACAAAUUGACACAUCCCGUGAUCAUCAACUGCUACUCUCCUAAGAUGUUUGCCAGACCGCCUCUCUGCCUCUCACUGUGCCCUCUGUGAGGAAGAUAAGCCCCAGACAAGGGAUUUGGGAGAGGUACACCCUCGGCUGAGGACCCGAGAGGCCAUGGCAGACAGAACUCCACUACUUGCUUCUGCAAAGAAAUCGCCCUUGUCUCUUUCUGUUCCCCUUUGCAGUGGAUUCCAAGCACUGCAAUGUCCCCGAUUUCUCGGAACCCUCACAUCACCCCUGAGACUAGCCAGUCAGAGAAAACUGUGAGGUCAGACCCCAGCCGACACGGGAAAGACAAGGUCACCACCUGAGUUAGAAUCAAAACCAAAGGUACCUCCUGUUUCUCUGUGUUCAAUCUUCAUUGUGCACCCACUUGGUCAAGAGUAAAGCUUGAAGCUGGGCAUGAUGGCUUGUGCUUUCAGCCCAGCACUUGGGAGGCAGAGGCAGGCGGAUCUCGGAG